Molecule: ribosomal RNA, 223 nt
Filed under: uncultured bacterium
Lineage: Bacteria
Description: partial 16S ribosomal RNA
Rfam family: Bacterial small subunit ribosomal RNA
Source: RNAcentral
UAAUCUCCCUUGAGCGGGGGACAACGUUUCGAAAGGAACGCUAAUACCGCAUAAGUCUCCGAGGACUCUGGUUCUUGGAGGGAAAGCUAGGUCGCAAGAUCCGGCACUCGAGGAGGAGCCUGCGUCGCAUCAGCUAGUUGGUGGGGUAACGGCCUACCAAGGCGAAGACGCGUAGCUGGUCUGAGAGGAUGAUCAGCCACACUGGGACUGAGACACGGCCCAG